This 400-nucleotide ribosomal RNA is filed under the name uncultured bacterium. RNAcentral's name for it is "bacterial SSU rRNA". It matches the Rfam family "Bacterial small subunit ribosomal RNA", at positions 28 to 426 of the family's 1533-position model. The record is from RNAcentral.
GAUGAACGCUAGCGGCAGGCUUAAUACAUGCAAGUCGAGGGGCAGCACGGUUAGCAAUAACUGGUGGCGACCGGCGCACGGGUGCGUAACACGUAUACAAUCUACCUUAAACAGGGGGAUAGCCUUUCGAAAGAGAGAUUAAUACCCCGUAAUAAAUUGAACGGCAUCGUUUGAUUUUGAAAGCUCCGGCGGUUUGAGAUGAGUAUGCGUCUGAUUAGCUAGUUGGUGAGGUAACGGCUCACCAAGGCGACGAUCAGUAGGGGAUCUGAGAGGACUAACCCCCACACUGGUACUGAGACACGGACCAGACUCCUACGGGAGGCAGCAGUGGGGAAUAUUGCGCAAUGGGCGAAAGCCUGACGCAGCGACGCCGCGUGGGUGAUGAAGGCCUUCGGGUCGU